Molecule: non-coding RNA, 53 nt
Organism: Pseudoalteromonas luteoviolacea 2ta16
Lineage: Bacteria; Pseudomonadati; Pseudomonadota; Gammaproteobacteria; Alteromonadales; Pseudoalteromonadaceae
Source: Rfam
CGUAUGGUGCCAAACUUCGGGUUUGGAGAGCGAUACGGCCUUAAAUUAGAGGU